AUGCGAGGAAAAGCCAGCACGAAGUGGAGGAGGAAGGGAAAUGAGCCCCAGCUGGGGACACCCGGGGGUGGGCAGCAGGCAGCUCAUGCCCUGCACCCUCCCUUUGAUACCCAGCUGCUUGGGCCAGGGAGAGGCUUUGCAGGGAGAGGAGCUGGUGAAGCUGUGCAGAGGCCCCUGGGGCUGGCAGGAUGUUCACUGUGCAGACCUCUGAGCCGGGCUUUGGCACCCGUCCCCUCUGAUGAGCCCUGGGAGCACUGCAGCAGCGAUGGGAACAUGGUUUGCUGCGUCCCACUCGCGCCAGCUCUUAUCUCCCUGUUUAUUGCUGUGAAGUAUUGAAGUCAGAAAGGCUGACUCAGCAACGGAGGCUGGAGGGGUGGCUAUGAUAAACCCUCCAGGGCCAGGGACUGCGCGUGGGCUCUCCUUCCUGGCUCUCAGCAGACACAGACACCUCACCAGGGAGAAAUUACCAUCCAUCCCGAGCCCUGAAUCAUGCUCAAGGAGAGAACCCUAGGGGAAAAGAGCCACGAGAUGGGAAAACUCAGCAGACCGUGGGCAGAGCGAAGGACCCGACCAGCUUUAAGUCCUGGUGCGGUGCCACGGCUGGAUGGUGCCUGGGUGGGGGUUGUAACAGGGCUGUUGCAUCCUGGCUGCUGCUGCAAAAAAAAAAUAGUCUUUGCUGCCAUCUACCUCUCCUGGGCUUCC
Molecule: long non-coding RNA, 702 nt
Filed under: Anas platyrhynchos platyrhynchos (common mallard)
Lineage: Eukaryota; Metazoa; Chordata; Aves; Anseriformes; Anatidae
Description: lncRNA (ENSAPLG00000030398.1)
Source: RNAcentral